GAUGAACGCUGGCGGCGUGCCUAAUACAUGCAAGUCGAGCGAACGGACGAGAAGCUUGCUUCUCUGAUGUUAGCGGCGGACGGGUGAGUAACACGUGGAUAACCUACCUAUAAGACUGGGAUAACUUCGGGAAACCGGAGCUAAUACCGGAUAAUAUUUUGAACCGCAUGGUUCAAAAGUGAAAGACGGUCUUGCUGUCACUUAUAGAUGGAUCCGCGCUGCAUUAGCUAGUUGGUAAGGUAACGGCUUACCAAGGCAACGAUGCAUAGCCGACCUGAGAGGGUGAUCGGCCACACUGGAACUGAGAAACGGUCCAGACUCCUACGGGAGGAAGCAGUAGGGAAUCUUCCGCAAUGGGCGAAAGCCUGACGGAGCAACGCCGCGUGAGUGAUGAAGGUCUUCGGAUCGUAAAACUCUGUUAUUAGGGAAGAACAUAUGUGUAGGUAACUGUGCACAUCUUGACGGUACCUAAUCAGAAAGCCACGGCUAACUACGUG
This 497-nucleotide ribosomal RNA is filed under the name uncultured bacterium. Its description in RNAcentral is "partial 16S ribosomal RNA". It matches the Rfam family "Bacterial small subunit ribosomal RNA", at positions 28 to 507 of the family's 1533-position model. The record is from RNAcentral.